UGCUUUGAAGAUCACUGUGUUCGCUUAAUUAGAUAAUAACAGCCAAAAAAAGUUGUAGUGCUCGUAUUGCUACCCCCAUUUCAUUUCUAGCCGAUCUGCUCGUAUUUCUAUUAGUUUUCCCAGAUUUUCACCCCUUUUCCCUUCGUGUUUUAUAGUUUCUUUAGAUCAGUUCCUGUGGACAAAGCGCAUGAAAUGCAGCGUGCGAACAAUUGAUUAAUACAUAGAGUAAUCUUUUCUUCAAACACGUUGAAUAGUUCCUCUGGGCCUAAAAAACUUCAGCAACGAGAUGUCAUUGGCGUCUUGACACAAAUUGAUCCGCUACAUCUAGUUGGUUUCAACAGCUCAAGCCUUACCAGAGACAUCUUCAUAACAAAUACAAG
This is a long non-coding RNA of Zea mays, 380 nucleotides long. RefSeq lists it as uncharacterized. The record is from RefSeq and is a predicted model, not a curated record. The transcript is spliced from 3 exons. Lineage: Eukaryota; Viridiplantae; Streptophyta; Magnoliopsida; Poales; Poaceae.